RNAcentral lists this ribosomal RNA (281 nucleotides) under uncultured Staphylococcus sp. RNAcentral's name for it is "partial 16S ribosomal RNA". It matches the Rfam family "Bacterial small subunit ribosomal RNA", at positions 81 to 355 of the family's 1533-position model. The record is from RNAcentral. Lineage: Bacteria; Bacillati; Bacillota; Bacilli; Caryophanales; Staphylococcaceae.
CUCCUCUUACGUUAGCGGCGGACGGGUGAGUAACACGUGGGUAACCUACCUAUAAGACUGGGAUAACUCCGGGAAACCGGGGCUAAUACCGGAUAAUACAUGAAACCGCAUGGUUUCAUGAUGAAAGACGGUUUUGCUGUCACUUAUAGAUGGACCCGCGGCGUAUUAGCUAGUUGGUAAGGUAACGGCUUACCAAGGCAACGAUACGUAGCCGACCUGAGAGGGUGAUCGGCCACACUGGAACUGAGACACGGUCCAGACUCCUACGGGAGGCAGCAGUU